AUCAAUUUAUCUGACAGCUUCCAAUAGGAUGGGCGUGUCACCAAGAGAUUGUUUGGUAGUGGAGGAUAGCGUUAUUGGACUACAGGCUGCAACAAGAGCAGGGAUGUCAUGUGUGAUUAGCUACACAUCUUCAACAGCUGAACAGGAUUUUAAAGAUGCAAUAGCCAUCUAUCCAGAUUUGAGUAAUUUGAGAUUGAAAGACCUGGAGUUAUUACUUCAAAAAGUGGUCCCUGCCUGUUAAAAAAUGCGUCGAUUUUUUCUAAACUUCCAGAAGAGCCUGUGUAGUUUUUGCAGAAUUUUGGUUGUGAUUGAAGUUUACCCAUUCAUCUAUGGCAUUUUCAUUGAAGUUAAAAAAUCACCCUUUUG
Quercus robur (English oak) is the source of this 366-nucleotide long non-coding RNA. RefSeq lists it as uncharacterized. The record is from RefSeq and is a predicted model, not a curated record. The transcript has 5 exons. Lineage: Eukaryota; Viridiplantae; Streptophyta; Magnoliopsida; Fagales; Fagaceae.